ACCGCCUCUUUCAGCGGGUCUGGGAAGGAUCCCUCACGGAGGGAAGCAUUCACCACCCCAUGAAGCCCAUCGCCCAGCCCUUCCCGGCUAGCUUUUUAGAGAAAGACAGAAAGAGAAAAACAACUACCAAAUUUUUAGAAGACAUCUGAAGGCAGCCCUGUUUAGGGAAGCUUUUAAUGUGUGACAUUUUAGUGUAUUUUUGUCUUUGUUGGAAGCCGCCCAGAGUGGCUGGGGAAACCCAACCAGAUGGGUGGGGUACAAAUAAUAAAUUAUUAUUAUAUUAUAGCUAGCAAGGCCAGAGCUCAGGGAUGAUGGGAGUUGUAGUCCAGCAACAUCUGGGGACCCACAGGUUGAGAACCGCUGUAAGGGAUGAAGUGAGAGGGUCUCCCUGGAAGGGAAGGAUUUGAGGAGGGGGGCUGGGAGCUCCGUGCCCACUUUGGGGGGGAGCAGGUGACAGCCCCCAUCUUCUCCUCAGCUGCUUAGGAGACCCGGGGCAGCCCCUUCAAAACUGGGCUCAGGCUUUGCCCUGAGUAGUGGGCCGCAGUUGCCGUGGCAACCAAGCCUUGGGAGAACAGGGUGCUGCCUGCCCCCCCGCCCCCCCCCGCAGGGUGGGCCGCCCAUUGCCAAAGCAGUCUUCCAGGGGGCUCUCUCGGCGAGGCGGGUCGUGGGGCGCCGAAAAGGAACAGCAACAAAAUGGGUUUUCCGUCGUGAUUCCUUCCAUUGUCCCACCAGGAGUUUGAACACUUUGGAAGCGACUUUCAGCGGCGGAGGGGGUGUCCCUAAAAACACGCAGCUCUGGGUGCCCAAAGGCGGCGGGGGGGAGCCCCUCUUCUCCCUGCUGAGCUGAUGAAGAUGGAAGAUGGUGAUGAAGACACCUUGGGCAAAGGGAGGGGGGAGGAGGAAGGCGUCCCCGCUGGGAAUAUCUAAGCAGUGGCGUCCAAAUUUAUUCAGAGGGCCAGAUGUGAUGAAGUGAAGGGCCAUGGGGGCCGACCAAAGUUGACCUCUUUUUUAGGAUUGAAGUUGUUAAGGGUUUUUUAGGAUUUUACCCCGGGAAAUAAACUGCCACAGGGGCUGGAUCCAACCGACCGGUAGGCUGGAUUAGGCCCCCGAAACAGACUUUGGACAUGCCUGAUCUAAUGCAACCACCACCACUUCCCUGAGCUCCUUAGAGGAAGAUGAGAAGAAUAAUUUCAGAGGUCCUGCUCCUCUGGCCAGUUGCGCAGGACGGUUGUUCCAUGAGUGUUGGAAGGGAGAAGCAUCAUGCAUACUGGCAAACACGAUGCAAACAAGAUGUGAUCUGCCUGAGAUAAGAAAAAAACCCCAAGUGUGUUUUAUAAGAUGGUCUCCGACUACAAUAAUCUAUCUAAACUUCAUUCACAAGAGCCAAUGGCCAUAGAAACAGUAAAACAUUACAGUAUAGCAGAAAAGGAAAUUUGAUAUAAGAGCACAAUUUAAAGUCCUGAAUCAGGAGUCAGUGGCCCUUAUUCUGAUUGCCCCAGCUGGGAACCUAGCAACCUUUGCUGAUAUCUGCUCAUUUUGAUCUGAGCUCCUUAGAGGAAAGGGAAAGGAGGGGAGGGGAGCAGCCCUGGGUUCAAGGGCGUCCUGGGGGUUUUUGACCUCUCCCAGCUGAGGUUUUCCUGCAAACAAGCGUGUUUCGCAUCCCGACUCCCCCUUUCCCCCGCCUUGCAGAAGCGACCUGCACCGUGGGGAGACACGGGCCCCUGCCUCUGGGUGCCUCCAGGGGCACCUUUCUCGGCCCAAGCGGAUCCUUCAGCUGCGACCCCCUGCACUUGCAGCUGGUUGGAUUAGAUGACCCUUGGGAGUCCCUUCCAAACUACGAUUCCUUCCCAUUAUAAUCAUCUUUGGCUUGUUAACGGAGAAAUCUGAGGGCUCCCUUGGACAAAAAACAAGGACACCAGCCAGGAAUCCCAGAGCAAAACAGCAGCCAGGAGGCUUGGUCUUUAUUGAAGACGGUCGCGACAGGACUCCCACCUGCCACCAGGUGGAACAAGAUGGAAGCCCCAAACAAAAGAGAACCCAAACUUUUAUUAGCUGCUGGUGGCGCUGUGGGUUAAACCACUGUGCCUAGGACUUGCCAAUCAGACGGUCGGCGGUUCGAAUCCCUGCGACGGGGUGAGCUCCCGUUGCUCUGUCCCAGCUCUUGCCCACCUAGCAGUUCAAAAGUAUGUUAAAGUGCAAGUAGAUAAAUAGGUACCGCUCUGGCGGGAAGGUAAAUGGCGUUUCCGUGCGCUGCUCUGGUUCGCCAGAAGUGGCUUAGUCUUGCUGGCCACAUGACCCGAAAGCUGUACACUGGCUCCCUCGGCCGGUAAAGCGAGAUGAGCGCCACAACCCCAGAGUCCUCCGUGACUGGACCUAAGGUCAGGGGUCCCUUUAAUCCCCAUGUUACGCCCCCCCCAAACUACAUCACUCAUACAUGACGGUUACAUCAUGAAAGGGGAGGUCUGGUGGC
Molecule: non-coding RNA, 2470 nt
Organism: Podarcis lilfordi (Lilford's wall lizard)
Lineage: Eukaryota; Metazoa; Chordata; Lepidosauria; Squamata; Lacertidae
Source: the annotation of a GenBank genome assembly